Molecule: non-coding RNA, 30 nt
Filed under: Rattus norvegicus (Norway rat)
Lineage: Eukaryota; Metazoa; Chordata; Mammalia; Rodentia; Muridae
Source: RNAcentral
UUCACAACUGAGUUGGUGGAUCUUGAUUGC